GAUAGGGUUGAAUUAAAGUACUAGUCACACUCUGAUAUUCUGGUAUAACGUUCUCCCUCGUCUACAUUACAAUACGAUAAACCUUAUCUUUUUUUUCUCUCUUGAAUGUAUAAAGACAGAUAUGUAUAUAACCUAUAAAAAUGUUACGACGUCAAUGGAAACAGCUAUUCAGCCGAUACACCCAUUUGAUGGAACAAGCUUUACGACCUAGAAGUUGGGUGAGUCUUUGGAAGGGUAUGGAAAAUAAAAAAGCUGAAGAUGUUUUCCAUUCGAUUGAAACAUUUUUAAAUCAAGAAUAUUCCCGAUUACAUUAUUUUAACAAAUAUAGCAAGAAGAAUGAUGUGUGGUACACGUCUCCAUUCGGUUAUUGCUUUCUACUUUUCCUGUCUUAUAAAAUGUAUCAACUUGUAUGGAUUUCUCAAAAACAAAAAAAAGCAGCUGAAAUCGUAGCGGAGGCUUACGGGCAAGGAGGCCAGUGGCUGAAUCCAGUGCCUCGUUAAGUUGAAAACUUAGCUUCAUAUAUUUAUCCAUUACAACCGUAAAUGAUGUUAUUUGAAUAAAUGUUGUUUGUUUGGUCAAAUCGUCAUAUUUUAAUAAGAUCAUAUGACUCUAACAUCAUUUAAUUCAGUAAUACUAUCAAACAUGAGAAAUUUAUUAUUAUGUGAAUACUUAUCUUUUUUUUUUUACUCGAAGCAUUAACUUCCUACAUGAAAAUGUUUGAAUGGAUUUCAAAGGACGAAAUGUCAAA
Molecule: long non-coding RNA, 748 nt
Organism: Hylaeus volcanicus
Lineage: Eukaryota; Metazoa; Arthropoda; Insecta; Hymenoptera; Colletidae
Exons: 4
Source: RefSeq, a predicted model, not a curated record